Molecule: ribosomal RNA, 253 nt
Filed under: uncultured bacterium
Lineage: Bacteria
Description: partial 16S ribosomal RNA
Rfam family: Bacterial small subunit ribosomal RNA
Source: RNAcentral
UACGGAGGGGGCUAGCGUUGUUCGGAAUUACUGGGCGUAAAGCGCGCGUAGGCGGACCUGCAAGUCGGGGGUGAAAGCCCGAGGCUCAACCUCGGAACUGCCUUCGAUACUGCGGGUCUCGAGUCCGGGAGAGGUGAGUGGAAUUCUCGGUGUAGAGGUGAAAUUCGUAGAUAUUGAGAGGAACAUCGGUGGCGAAGGCGGCCUUCUGGACGGUGACUGACGCUGAGACGCGAAAGCGUGGGGAGCAAACAGG